Pteropus alecto (black flying fox) is the source of this 119-nucleotide non-coding RNA. NCBI's taxonomy places the organism in Eukaryota, Metazoa, Chordata, Mammalia, Chiroptera, Pteropodidae. The record is from Rfam.
GUCUAUGAUCAUGCUACCCUGAACAAGGCUGAUCUCGUCUGAUCUCGGAAGCUAAGCAGGGACGGGCCAGGUUAGUACUUGGAUGGGAGACCACCUAGGAAGACCAGGUGCUGUAGGUG